Long non-coding RNA from Drosophila subpulchrella, 596 nucleotides. RefSeq lists it as uncharacterized. The transcript is spliced from 2 exons. NCBI's taxonomy places the organism in Eukaryota, Metazoa, Arthropoda, Insecta, Diptera, Drosophilidae. The record is from RefSeq and is a predicted model, not a curated record.
UGUUUCCAAAAAACCCACAUUAAACAUAAAAAACACCAAAAAGUAUCAGAAUGUGGCAAUUACUUCGGGAUAUGGCCAAUUUUUUCUGUAAUCAAUAUCGCUAUUUUUGGCUGGCCUCUAUUUUAGCCAUACCAUACCUAUCCUACCGAUCACAACAGACCGAUUUCAAUAUGCUGGAUUGCUUUAUAAUGUACGCAGCUGUGUUUAUUGGAGCCUUUGGAAUGAUUCAGGACGAGAGGAAUGGUCGUCCUCGUUAGCCCAACCUGAUGAAUAAAACCCCGAUCGUGAAAGAUGCGAAAACCUGUUUCUCAGCUAGAAACACUUAAGCACUGACCAAAAAAAAAAUCCAAUUAAUGACUUGCCCUAAAGAAGAGCCACUUGAUUGAUGUGUAUUACGUAUUAUUUGUUUUUUCCUUCUUUUUUGCCGGCGAGAUUGUUGGCGAGGCCGAAACCCGCCAAUCCGACGAGGCAGAAAGCCCAGCUCCACACGAUUCCCUGCCACAUUUUAGCCAUGUAUAUAUACUAAGUGCACUUCCACACUGAGAUGCUUCCACGAUCUUUGGCUAAUUAUGUAUUAAAAUAUUCAGUUGCAUGGA